This 254-nucleotide ribosomal RNA is filed under the name uncultured bacterium. Its description in RNAcentral is "partial 16S ribosomal RNA". It matches the Rfam family "Bacterial small subunit ribosomal RNA", at positions 524 to 776 of the family's 1533-position model. The record is from RNAcentral.
GACGGAAGGUGCAAGCGUUGUCCGGAUUUAUUGGGCGUAAAGAGCUCGUAGGCGGUUUUGAAAGUCGGGUGUGAAACCUCCAGGCUCAACCUGGAGACGCCACUCGAUACUUCAAUGACUUGAGUUCGGUAGGGGUAAGCGGAAUUCCUGGUGUAGCGGUGAAAUGCGCAGAUAUCAGGAGGAACACCGACGGCGAAGGCAGCUUACUGGGCCGAUACUGACGCUGAGGAGCGAAAGCGUGGGGAGCGAACAGG